CAGUAGCCGCGGUAAUACGAAGGGUGCAAGCGUUACUCGGAAUUACUGGGCGUAAAGCGUGCGUAGGUGGUGGUUUAAGUCCGUUGUGAAAGCCCUGGGCUCAACCUGGGAAUUGCAGUGGAUACUGGGUCACUAGAGCGUGGUAGAGGAUAGUGGAAUUUCCGGUGUAGCAGUGAAAUGCGUAGAUAUCAGGAGGAACACCUGUGGCGAAAGCGGCUCACUGGACCAUAACUGACGCUGAGGCACGAAAGCUAGGGGAGCAAACAGGAUUAGAUACCCCCGUAGUCCCUGUCUCUUAUAA
RNAcentral lists this ribosomal RNA (301 nucleotides) under uncultured bacterium. RNAcentral's name for it is "partial 16S ribosomal RNA". It matches the Rfam family "Bacterial small subunit ribosomal RNA", at positions 509 to 809 of the family's 1533-position model. The record is from RNAcentral.